AGGGCCAAUGAUGAGAGCUUAUCAUGAACCAAAGAUUAAUUAUCAACCCAUUUCUGCAUAUCUGAAGUCCAGU
RNAcentral lists this small nucleolar RNA (73 nucleotides) under Choloepus hoffmanni (Hoffmann's two-fingered sloth). RNAcentral's name for it is "Small nucleolar RNA SNORD112 (ENSCHOG00000015999.1)". Lineage: Eukaryota; Metazoa; Chordata; Mammalia; Pilosa; Megalonychidae. The record is from RNAcentral.